GGCAUGCGAGUCACGCCGCAAGGCGUGGCAUACGGCUCAGUAACACGUAGUCAACAUGCCCAAAGGACGUGGAUAACCUCGGGAAACUGAGGAUAAACCGCGAUAGGCCAAGGUUUCUGGAAUGAGCCAUGGCCGAAAUCUAUAUGGCCUUUGGAUUGGACUGCGGCCGAUCAGGCUGUUGGUGAGGUAAUGGCCCACCAAACCUGUAACCGGUACGGGCUUUGAGAGAAGGAGCCCGGAGAUGGGCACUGAGACAAGGGCCCAGGCCCUAUGGGGCGCAGCAGGCGCGAAACCUCUGCAAUAGGCGAAAGCCUGACAGGGUUACUCUGAGUGAUGCCCGCUAAGGGUAUCUUUUGGCACCUCUAAAAAUGGUGCAGAAUAAGGGGUGGGCAAGUCUGGUGUCAGCCGCCGCGGUAAUACCAGCACCCCGAGUUGUCGGGACGAUUAUUGGGCCUAAAGCAUCCGUAGCCUGUUCUGCAAGUCCUCCGUUAAAUCCACCUGCUCAACGGAUGGGCUGCGGAGGAAACCGCAGAGCUAGGAGGCGGGAGAGGCAAACGGUACUCAGUGGGUAGGGGUAAAAUCCAUUGAUCUACUGAAGACCACCAGUGGCGAAGGCGGUUUGCCAGAACGCGCUCGACGGUGAGGGAUGAAAGCUGGGGGAGCAAACCGGAUUAGAUACCCGGGUAGUCCCAGCUGUAAACGAUGCAGACUCGGUGAUGGGUUGGCUUCGGGCCAACCCAGUGCCGCAGGGAAGCCGUUAAGUCUGCCGCCUGGGGAGUACGGUCGCAAGACUGAAACUUAA
Molecule: ribosomal RNA, 802 nt
Filed under: uncultured crenarchaeote
Lineage: Archaea; Thermoproteati; Thermoproteota
Description: bacterial SSU rRNA
Rfam family: Archaeal small subunit ribosomal RNA
Source: RNAcentral